RNAcentral lists this ribosomal RNA (229 nucleotides) under uncultured bacterium. RNAcentral describes it as "partial 16S ribosomal RNA". It matches the Rfam family "Bacterial small subunit ribosomal RNA", at positions 15 to 237 of the family's 1533-position model. The record is from RNAcentral.
GAUCAUGGCUCAGGAUGAACGCUAGCUACAGGCUUAACACAUGCAAGUCGAGGGGCAGCAUUUUUAUAGCAAUAUAAAAGAUGGCGACCGGCGCACGGGUGAGUAACACGUAUCCAACCUGCCGAUAACUCGGGGAUAACCCUUCGAAAGAAGGCCUAAUACCUGAUGGUAUGAUGAGAUUGCAUGAUAGCAUCAUUAAAGAUUUAUCGGUGUACGAUGGGGAUGCGUU